AUUCCAGCUCCAAUAGCGUAUAUUAAAGUUGUUGCAGUUAAAAAGCUCGUAGUUGGAUUUCUGGUUCAGAGGGCUUGGCCCAUGGCCAAUUCUAGGUUCAUGAGUGCCGAUGCUUUCGUACCAUCCUUCCGGUGAUGAUUCAGGUCCCCUUCAUUGGGUCAGCCUGGUUGUUCCGGAUCUUUUACUUUGAAAAAAUUAGAGUGUUUAAAGCAAGCUGUGUGUUGAAUACAUUAGCAUGGAAUAAUAAUCUAGGACUUUGGUUCUAUUUUGUUGGUUUCUAGCGCCAAAGUAAUGAUUGAUAGGGAUAGUUGGGGGUGCUAGUAUUUACCGGCCAGAGGUGAAAUUCUUGGAUUCGGUAAAGACUAACUUAUGCGAAAGCAUUCACCAAGGAUGUCUUCAUUA
This 402-nucleotide ribosomal RNA is filed under the name Cercozoa sp. RNAcentral's name for it is "partial small subunit ribosomal RNA". It matches the Rfam family "Eukaryotic small subunit ribosomal RNA", at positions 582 to 975 of the family's 1831-position model. Lineage: Eukaryota; Cercozoa. The record is from RNAcentral.